Long non-coding RNA from Thalassophryne amazonica, 428 nucleotides. RefSeq lists it as uncharacterized. The record is from RefSeq and is a predicted model, not a curated record. Lineage: Eukaryota; Metazoa; Chordata; Actinopteri; Batrachoidiformes; Batrachoididae. The transcript is spliced from 3 exons.
AAUAGCUUUCGACAUUUGCUGCACCUUGAGAAAAACCAUCAGUUGGUUGAAUUUAGAGCUGUGGUCAGGUGUGAAAAUUAAAUCGCAACCAAACAAUGUUAACAUUGAAUGUGAACAAAAAGAAGUUGAUCACACAGGAAACCUUGGUAAACGUUUUCUUUUUACAAUAUCUUCCAAGUGAUAGCAUGCUAUGUUAUGCUGUGCUAAGCAGACAUCUUUUUCACAUAUCUGCCCCACUAGUGUGUUUAGCCCCUAAAAGAAGGUACCCGAUCCAAGGCCACCUGUGCCCUAUACUCUGUGUACUUUUAGAGUUUUGCCAAAACAGGCACCUGGCAUAACAUUUGUGCCAAUUCAACAUGCCAGGUUGACUGUGGUACCGUGAGCACACGUCUCAAACAAAACCUAAACUUUGCUGAGAGUGAGAGUUC